This 231-nucleotide ribosomal RNA is filed under the name Triticum aestivum (bread wheat). RNAcentral describes it as "partial small subunit ribosomal RNA". Lineage: Eukaryota; Viridiplantae; Streptophyta; Magnoliopsida; Poales; Poaceae. The record is from RNAcentral.
AUGAAGGCUGGCGGCUUGUAUCCUAGGAUCGUCGGCGUUGAUGUGGAGUACACCACGGAAGACGAACCUUCGCAGAUGGCAGUAGUUCUGCAGUUGUGCGUGGAGGAACUCUGCCUGGUGUACCACAUCGCUGUUGGGAAUCGUAGCCCAAGCGCCUCAACGACAUGCUGGAGCAUGAGAAGUUGUUCACAUUUGCCGGUUUCAGCAUUGAAGGGGACAAGGAGAAGCUAA